This 467-nucleotide ribosomal RNA is filed under the name uncultured bacterium. RNAcentral describes it as "bacterial SSU rRNA". It matches the Rfam family "Bacterial small subunit ribosomal RNA", at positions 330 to 794 of the family's 1533-position model. The record is from RNAcentral.
GCCAGACUCCUACGGGAGGCAGCAGUGAGGGAUAUUGGUCAAUGGGCUUACGCCUGAACCAGCCAAGUCGCGUGAGGGAAGACUGCCCUAUGGGUUGUAAACCUCUUUUGUCAGGGAGCAAUUGGCGCUACGUGUAGCGUUAUCGAGAGUACCUGAAGAAAAAGCAUCGGCUAACUCCGUGCCAGCAGCCGCGGUAAUACGGAGGAUGCGAGCGUUAUCCGGAUUUAUUGGGUUUAAAGGGUGCGCAGGCGGGAGAUCAAGUCAGCGGUAAAAUGUCGGGGCUCAACCCCGGCCGGCCGUUGAAACUGGUUUUCUAGAGUUGGAGAGAAGUAUGCGGAAUUCGUGGUGUAGCGGUGAAAUGCAUAGAUAUCACGAAGAACUCCGAUUGCGAAGGCAGCAUACCGGCUCCAUACUGACGCUGAGGCACGAAAGCGUGGGGAUCGAACAGGAUUAGAUACCCCCGUACA